GGCUGGGCCGAGGGUCGCAAGCAGAGGGGACCGGCGGCUGCCAGCAAGUCCCAAGCAGAUGCCUCCGGCGGGGCAGCCGCAUUUUACAGCGCCCAUUCCGCGUACAUCGAGUAUCCAAAACGAGUAAAAUCGGUUUAUACGUUGGAAUGUAGCUUAUGAUUCCAAAAUCUCAUCUCCAGGCUGCCUAGAUCACACGGCCCCGUUUCAUUCAUUUUUACUGAAUAACGGUCGUUGGACAAUUUAGAGAAGCAGCAGAAACCACGAGAAAAACAGUGGAGUCAAACGGCGGCGCUGUUGUAGGAGCAAGGUAUACAAUGAUGAUCAAGGCAGAUGCAGCCCUUACCUUCAGGUCGUGGAGUCCGGAUACAGACUGGAGGCAGAGGCAGCUGUAAGAUGUGUGACAAAUGCUGCGCUGGAUCAGCCCAUGGUAUUAGGAGAGCAGGUAAGGAAGGGUGGGGACGGGAGCGGACAACCUGGAGGAAGAGGCAGCUAAGCAGAGUCCGGAAGGCUGAGGAGGAGUCAGCAGGUGAAAGAGAGGGAAUCAUGACAUGCCAUCUCAACUGUAGGGCACGGCUAGCUGGCUGACUUAGCUGCUGUAACACCGGAUUUUUGCAAGACUCCCUGAGUAUUUCUCGUGGACUUGCGAACAAAUCUGAGCAAGAAAACCACGUAAUUUCUUUUAUGCCCUGCCCAAGAAAGCCACCUGGAGGGGCAAGGCGACCUUAGCAGAAAGAAGCUGGAGGUGGGGGGAGAGCAGGGUGAUGUUACUCUCCGUAUGGUGGGGGGUGGACACCUCCCUGUCACAUGGCUCGUAAUAUCCAGCGGGGGAGAGGGGGUUGACUUUCCCCUACGUUAUUGGUAAUAUCACCUCCCUCUCUCCCGCUAAAUAUUAAGUACAAUAUCACAGGUGGGGCGUACACCCCCGGCGAUGUUUGAAGUAACAUCAACUUCUCCCCCUCUGGAUGUUAGAAACAAUAUCACAGGGGGGUGAACACCCCCCCUGCGAUCCUGGGAGUGACAUCAUCCUCUUUCCCCCGGAUAUUAGGAACAAUAUCACAGAAGGUGUUUACAACUUUUGCAAUGUUGGGAGUAAUAUCAUCCUCUCUCACCCUGGAUAUUCAGAACAACAUCACAUGGGAAUUGUACCCUUCUGUUUAUUGAGAGUAAUAUCAUCCUCUCCCUU
RNAcentral lists this long non-coding RNA (1183 nucleotides) under Homo sapiens (human). RNAcentral describes it as "HSALNT0145734". The record is from RNAcentral. Lineage: Eukaryota; Metazoa; Chordata; Mammalia; Primates; Hominidae.